GGGGGGAGGGGGGGGGAACGGGAGGACGAGGAGGUUCCCUGCUUAUUUUUCCCUGAGGCAAAUAUCUCUUCCAUGAUCGAGGGAAGAGGCAGCAGUGUUUUUGCAGUGGUGCGAAGUGUGGCUGUUGCUAGAAAUGCUUCUCACUUUGUUCCUGAAAAGUGUGCCAGAUGCACUGGAGAGCUCGCACCGCUUUAUUUAUGUAAUGCGAUGUGAGGAGGAACGGGGGGGAGUUCUCCACCCCUGGUGCAGCCGAUUUGGCUAAAUUUGCAGUGCUGUGCUGCAAAAGUUACGUGCUCAUUUAUCCCACUGGCCAGAACAGAGGGGCCUCUCCUUGCUGCUGCAUCCCUGCUCCCCGAGGAUGCUGCUCAGAAAGCCCACUGCCCUCAGCGUGCCCUGUGCUCAGCUCAACCUGCGUUAGCCAAAGGGCUGAGGGCUUCGUGUCCCACGCUAAGGGAUCAACCACGCACUGCUGGGCUCAUAUAGAUUGCAGCAGGAGCUCCCUGCUCUGCCACAUCCCGGCCCCAGGCACAGAGAUGGGAGCAUGGAGCCCUCACUGUGAGCAAAUGAGGGUGAGUUAAUGGGGUGCACCCCACGGGCAGGGGCUGGGGAACUUCUCGCCCUGCAGUCAGGUUUUUGCUUCUGUUCCAAAGAGCUCCUAAAACAUAAUAAGUAGAGUAGAGAGAAAACAAGCGUUUCCCUAAGUGGGACCACGCUGCUCUUCCCAGCUGCCCGAGAAACAGAAUGUUUUGAUGAAAUCAAUUAUGAUGUAUACGAAACAAUUUUACUCUUAACCAGCUGCCACCUUAUUUCCUGCCAUGUUGAUCUAUUCAGACACAGUCACUUUUUCUUCCUUAAGAAUAUAUAUUUGCUCGAGGAGAGACAUCAAAAACUGGGUGGAUAAUUCCUAUGAUCCAGUGCUGUCCUAAGAGAAAGCAGCGCUCGGAAUCAGAAAGCAAACAGCAUGGAGACAGUGCUGGGUCCUGCUGGUUUCCCCCCGAAAGGGCUGGUUGGUCCCCCUGCCCUCGCUGUACAUGCAGCACAUGGCAGGCACAGAUCUCGGCCCCUGGGAAGGGGCAUCAGGACCCUUUGCCCUCUCCCCGUGUGCCCUCUCCUCUGUAGAAACUCCUGGUGGCACACAGAGGCCUCUGCUGCACCGAGCGAGAUUCACACACUCUUGGGAGCUUUAAUUAGAACCAUGCUGCAUGCAGUACUUUCAUAGCUUCUCCAAUUUAUUAUUUAUGAUUUAAAGCAACGACAAAACAACAUGAAAAUAUUUGCUUGUUAAGGAAAAAAGACGUGGUGGCAUAGGGCAAUAAGCAUUUAAAAAAAAUAAUAAAUAAGAGAAUUUCCAUAGCAGUGCCCACCUGGUGCAGUACCUGGCAGUGCCUACCUGGUGUGUAGGGUCGCAGUGUGCUCAGAGCCCCAUCUGCUGGGUCACUGCCAUCACAUGGAGGUGCCGCGUCCCCGUCUGGGAUGGGGAAAACACCGCACAGAGAGGUACGGAGGGUUUCACGGGCAGAUACUGGUGCUCUGACACGUUUUCUUCUCCGUUAGUCCUUCCUUUCAUCAGCACGGCAGAAAAAGAGGCUGCUGCAAGCUCUGCAUUGACAGCGGUCAUUCAAACUGCUGCUGGGAGAGUGUGACGGGCUGUAGCUGUAGCGUUCAGGCUGUAGCAGACGGUGCCGUGGCCGUGCUGUUUGUUCAGCUUGUUUCCCGGCUGAGAGGCGCGCACCCAGCCGCACGCCGACGGCUCCGCUGGUCACACUUGCGCUCUUUGAAGUUCGGGUGUUUGUCGGCACUCGCACCCCCGGCUUUGCUUCUUAAAGCCCACCGAGAUAGCAGCUUGGAGUGCUGUGCAGUGUUGCCUUCUCCUCCCGGCCGCUGCCAGAAACAACACGGCCGCUCUGAGCGAGGACGGGUCGGUGUCUGCGCCGUGAGGGGCAGCCCGUGCUGUGCGGCUGCCUUCCCCCAGCGGGCAGGAGGCUCUCCGGGGUGCUGUGUGCGCUAGUACAGAACCUUGGUUGGUAGGGGCAGCCCUGAAACUAAGAGGAAAAAUUAAAAUAGGUGCAGCUGUGGCUGGCUCUGACUGAGAGGGUUCGGAGCACAAAGUGAAACGGGGAUGCAGCAGAAACUGGGUUACGUGGCUCUGAGUAAAUGCUCUCCCGUCAGAGCAGGAUUUAUUUUACAUCACUGCUCUAGUUCUUGUCCUGAGGAUGUUUAACUCACUCGGAGCUGUUUGGUCUCCAGGAUGGAUUCCUACAAUUAUGUGUUUGUGAUUGCGAGCACUGCCACGGGAAGCAGCAGGAGGAUAUCAUUUUGGGAGUGCUGGGAGGCACGGACGGAGCUGGAGAGCCUUCUCCUGGGCUUCAGCCACUGCUACACUUCGGAGGGAGGCUGCAGAGCGCUUCGGGCCUGACGUGCUUCUGCACUUAGCAGCUUGAAUAACAGGGCAUCAGAUGGGUAUUACUGCAUCGCUGUAACUUUAAACUUCUUCCACGCAGUGACAACGUGCAGUUUGGGGCUGUGCGCAGUGCUCACCUCAGGCGUGUUUUCAGAGUGCUCACAGCAGGCAACGAACACGGCCUGCCCGAGGCCCCGUGGCUGCAGGCCUGCAGGGCUGGGCAUGGCCUCGCACAGCCCCACGCGCUGCACAACCUCAGUGAGCUGCCCAGCGCCCGCCUGCUGCCCAAGGAUGCUCAGAGCACCUCGGUCACACGCCGCGGUGCGGAGCCUGGGGACGCCCGGCUGUGGGAGCCCCAGCUGGGACGAGCCGUGACCGAGGCCGGUUCGUGGGCAUCUAUCUCAGCUAUCUGCCUGAGCCCCGUGCCAGAUGUGGCUCGAAAUCCUCAGAUGCCCUCUGCUGCCAUGGACCAGAAUUAACAGAUGGCUCCGUGUAACCAGAACAUAAUCUUGAAUUUACGGAAGUCCAUGGCAAAAUCUGGUUGUGAAGGGGGCUAUUUUCUGCGAGACUAUUUGUGAAGAUUCCUGGCUCUCUGCCUUUGUGUACAAGGCUGACACAUGGCCCAUGCAUCCUCACUGUGCCUAGCAGCAUGCCCACUCCUUCCAGAGCUCUAUUGCAGGGAUGCACAUAGCCCUCCAGUGGAUGGGCUGUAUUCCAUCACUGUGGCAAACCUGUGGAGCUGUGAUAGCUUAUAAAACUUGACAGCAUGGUCCAUUGCAUGUACGUUUUCUAAAUCCAUAUUUUUCCAAUUUUUUUUUUCCUGUAGUGGCAAGUUUUUUUCUAUCCAUCUGGGAGCAGAAUCCUGUGCUCAGCGUAUGUAAAUAACAGCUGUUUCCACUCAAUUGCAUUUAUGUACUUAACACUUCAAAAUAGUUUUUUUCUAGAAGUUUCACAAUCUAGUCACCAUCCAUGCUUAAACAGAGGUACUGGGGAGAGGUUAAUGAAACCCCUCUGGACUGGCUGACAAAAGUAUACAGCUGCAGCUCUGGAAUCCCCACACAGGACGGAUUGCUGAUGCUGACAGCCAUGCUCCGAUGCACUGUGGAGGCAACUUCAUUCCUGAGGCAGCCUCAGCUCUGGCUUCUGGGGCUGCUGCGGGGGUAGCAGGGUGCCAAGUGAGGAGAGGAGCUGUGCUGGUAGUGCCUUCCAGGCAAAGUUAAUUUGUCAUGUAGAGCAGCUGAACAGGAGGAAAAAUGGCAAGUAAUUUAGAGGGAAAAGCUUAUCUGCCAGUGUCGCAGAUUUUUAAAUGCAUUAACCUAUUGCAUCCUGAGAAGAAAGGGAGCUCUUUAAUGCUCUGAUAUAUCUUUUGUUGUAAUGUCACUAGCUCUGAAAUGAAAAUACAGCCUUUUUAUUUUAAAAUGCCUCAAUGAAGAUUUCAAGAAAUUAAUGUUCGAUUAUUAUUUUUGUCCAGAAGCCUCAUUGUUUUUCCAAAUGGCUCAACCUGAGCUAUUUCAUUAGACUUUUGGAUCCUCUGAAGGCCCAGGAUUACAGAACAUUGAUAUUUAGUUACCCUUCAUUCACUCCAUUUACUCUGAUGCAGACUGCUGAGAGCUGUGUGUUCCUAAAUCCGGGCUGUUUUUUAUGUUACUGUAUUUUUUAUUUUGCUUAUUCAGAAGAAAAAUACUUUGAUGUUUACUGCCGUCUCAACUGGAACACCUGUGAACUGGGCAGGACCAUGCUGAGGACUCAAGGUGUGCGGAGAGAGCAAUAACUGCGUGCGAGCUGUUGCUCUCACACAUCCCGACGUGCCUGUGCCACAGUGUUUAUAAGAGGAGCAAAGAGGACCUGAGCUUGGGUUGUCUGUGAGAACAGCCACCUGCUCCCACAGGGCAUGUCUGUACUUCUGGAUAAGAACAUUCCUGAUGUUACCGCUGUGCCAACGUGGCUCCUCCUGGGCUCCUCCUGCUUCCCCACUCCACAGCACUGCCUGCACUCUGGUGCUGUGUGGGUCCGAUGUGGAAUGAUGCCUUCUUGCGUUUCUUUCAGUUCAGAGUGCCUGAAAUGAGGUGAAACAGCUCUGCAGCCUCCGAGAAUGGUGCUUCCCUAGUGUGAACACGAGGUACACGUGUGUUUUGGGGCGUGGUAAUGUCUGAGGGUGAGCAGCCAUCUUGGGUUGCUCUGGGCAGAGGCACAAGAAGGCCUGGCCUUGGGAGCAGGCUCUUCACUGCUAGAGGGUCCAGCUGGGAGAGGCUGGGAGAGGGCUGAGGGGUAUAUGGUGAAGCAGUGUAGGUGCUUAGCAGCCCCAAGCUUGAGCUCGGUGCUCAGGCUCAGAGGGGCCAGCCUGACUGCCUGCUGCUGGGCCGAGCUGGCUGGGCGCGAGUGGCACUCUGCAGGUGGUGUGCUUCACUCCUAAGGAAGCACUGGGCUUCUAAGGGGUCAUUUCCUCAAGUCACGAGUUAAAGCCUCAGCCACGUUGAAGCAACACAGCCAGCAGCUCGAGGGCCAGGACCAGCCAAGCAGUGUGGGGGUGCUCACCACUGCCACCUGCCUCAGGGCUGCCCACACCCUCCCUCCUUCCCAGGCUGUGCCCCAGCCACCGUCACCGUGUCGCCUUUCAGCCACCAUUGGCCUCUUUGAGCUUCAUUUCAAGUCUUUUUUUUUUUUUUUUUUAAUUAAACAAAUACAGCUGUAUAAAGUCAAUGAAUUUUAACCCACAGGGCCAACACAACACACGUGGAGUGUUUGCUGCAGUAGGUUUGAACAUACAAAUUCACACUCUAGGAAGAGAAGUGCUGGGCCAUUUUUCUUAUUCUCCGUGUAUGGCGAGCACUUUGCUUGCACUGUGUGUGCCUUCCCCCUUGAUCAGAAAUUCUUUUUCUUAACCAAUUGCUAAAAUCCAUGGAACUCGUUGCCACGGCCAGUUUCCCCAUCACUAAAUGCAAGAUUUUAACGGCAUAAAAAAUGGGAUGGGAGUAAGACAGUUUUAUAAAGAUGUAAGGUAUUCAUAGAAAACAACAAGCAAAUCCUGACAUCAAAGUGGGGACAUGAUUUAGUGAUGAAAUACUGGUGGUAGCGAGAUGGUUGGACUGGAUGAUCUUGGAGGUCUUUUCCAACCUUGGUGAUUCUAUGAUUCUAAGUCAGGACUAAAAAAUAUAGAAUAACCAAAAAAUUGAGAGGGAACAUGAACUUUUAUAUUACCAUAAACAAAUGUAAACAAACAGACCUUUUUUUUUCCUGGAAUUACUUUAUUGACUGGAAGCCUCAGAGUGCCUUAACGAAAGCAGAAGAGCAUGUCUGCAGCACAGCCAUUUUGUUAUUUGUUGUGUUUGUCUUGUGUAGCUACCCGGAGGUAACAGAGAGAACCAUGGGCUCAUCAGAAGAGGGAGUAUAGAGAUGCAUAAAAUAAACACCUCUUGUUUAUUCAGAAUAAAUAGAAUGAAAGAAAAAAAGAUUAACAGCUUCACUACUAACUUUUAGUAUUGGAGAGCUGAUGAAACAAAAGGAGGUGAGAGAUUAAAAUCCUAUACACAGUUAUUAAGCAUGUGCAUUACUGCAUGCAGAGAACAAAAACCAGGAAGUUAGAAAGCUGUUGCAGUGAAGGCAAAACACAUUGCUUCAUUUGCUUAGCAAGAGAAAACUGCUUAGUCUUUAAAAUAUUUUGCUGACUUUCUCAUCUCUUCAUUCAGGACUUCUGUAUAUGGACUACAUGCUAGUAAAGCUUAGCAGGAACAGCAAAAAAGAAGUCUUCACCUUUAAGCAGAGUACUUCUAUAUUUCUGUCUCUGCUCACAAACUGCUGCCCUACCCUCCCAACUCAACCAACCAAAAAAUAAUUCCCAAACACAAUAAAACUACCUUUAUUUGCUAUGAAAUUUGUAUCUAAAUCUCUACUAAGCUCCUCCUCCCUUCACAGAAGAGAGAAAAGCACCUCCAGAAAACAAUCUGUGGCUUAUUCCAAUCUUUUUUUUUUUUUUUAAUGGGAUUUACUGCCUUGUUGAGGUACUUUGUAUGCGUGCCUAUUGACUAUAAGGUGAGUCUGUGACAAGUAACUCAGAUUUACAUGUCUAAUUAGUAGUUGCCUCAGUGUUAGGAAACAAAUCUAGCUCUUACAUAUUGUAGGUAUACAAUUAGUCUGAACUUCAUUCUUGUGAAAACUGGGCUCUAAGUCAAUUUAUUCUACAGUAGUAAUAAAGUGAGACACACAUCCUCCAUUACAGGAGAGGAAAGCAGCCUGCACAGCCUAUGUCUGCUUGUUCAUGUAAUUUUGUACUAUUUUUCAGGAUGGAAUGAGCACGUGGGAAAUUGUAACAGUGCACCAUGAAAACUGGAAUAACUGAGAAAGCGCUGACAUCAAACAUAAAUUCCUAUUGUGAUACAUUAUAGAGCUGCAGGCACAGUAGAAUUUGGAGAUGUCAGGUGAACUCCAGGCCCUCCCAACAGCCAGCUUUUCCAUGGGGCUGAAUAGGGGUAGGGAGAUGGGGUGGCUAACCGCUCCCUCCAUUCUUGUCCCGAGGAGCUUGAGCACACAGACAUGAAACUCGUCAAAUGGGCCCAUUUGGCAGUGCUGUACUAUUGACUCAAUUUUUCAAAACCACCAGGGUUGGAUGUUUCUUGUUGUUGUUGUUGUUUAAUAUGUAUGAAGAAAGAUACAGCUCUGAUACAUUAGAAAAGUCAAAUAGUUCAAAGCAAACAAGAAAGUGCUAGAAAAGAACCUUUGACCCUUUGAAUCCAAGCACUUUCAGACCUCCCAGGAAAUCUCUUAUUCGUCAGUACUUGCAAAUUUAAUUAAGUAACAGCUGGCGCGUGUCUCUCAUAGCGUUAAGUCCCACCAUCUAUGGCUUCGAACAAAUCCAGGAGAGCCACUGUGCAAGGUUGCCUCCCGGUGGUGGUACCACGAACCUGCAGAAUGACAGAAUCUGCACACAGAAAAGGCAAAAAACCCGUUUGAAAGGAACGCUUCCUUUUUGAAUUCAGGUCUACGUAGAGUAAGUGAAAAAUUUCAGUGUGAUUUUAACGGCCUGAAUUGAGGACAAACCUUUUGAUACACGACUGAAGCAGAGCUUUCUAGUGGAAUAGCAUACUGACAAGGAAAGCUCAGAGACUUUCAGUACGUGAAAAAAAAGCUAAAAAUCAGUAAGCUGUACCCAAUUGCACACUAUCCACAGCAGUGAGCCUCCUGAAGUCUGAAACAAUAGCUAUUAAGCACAAGGCAAAUGGCUGAGUGCCUUAAGUUGGAUACAAAAGCACUACAGCAGAUUUCCCAUUCUACCAAUUCUAUGUAACUCAGAUUUUCAAUUACGAAGUUAGCAACAAGAGGAGAAAAGACAACAGAAAGUCCCAAACUACCUUUCAGAUUGAUUGUUCUUUUAGGUAAAAGCAGGAAAAGACUCCAGCAGAUGGAUUUCCAAUUCCAAGUCUUCAAGUAAAGAGAAACACACAGUUAAAAGACAGCUUUAUGUAGCUGUUCAAGAUGAUGAAAGCCAGGACAACUUGAAAUGACUGUGGGAAUAGGAGUUUAGUUGGGUCACGCUUCAGAUGACCCAGACGAAAGAUUUAGUGUAAGAAAACAGAAAUAUUGGCAGCGUAGUGCAGGGAAGGAUUUUAAAACACCCAUUUUAUGGAUUAACGUAACAACAAAUUGGCAGAGGGUACAUGCAGUGAGUGUGUUUCAGACUCAUUCAGUUCCCAGUAACUGCUCAGAAGAGGAAGUGCUUUAAAUCAGAUAGCAGUCCCACACACAACAGAUUUUUAGUGCUCCAAAUACCUAAGGAGUGUUCAAAAACAUUUGGGAAAAAGUGAGAAAUGUAACAACAUUUCUGCAGCGACUGCAGAUGAUGAAGCGUCAAGUUUGACAGACAAGGACAGACAAACGCAGUGGUACUGCAAUGACAAAAGGCAUCUGCAAAGGAAAAUGUCUUAACAGCAUUAAGCAGGCAUAAGCAAGAAUUUCUUUGGGGGGGAGGAUAAAUAUUUGAAAGCUGAACCCAAGAAAGAACAUCUUUUUUUAAAUUGGAAUGAAACCAAGCAGACAAUUUAGGUCUCAGCUUUCCGAAAAUAAUGGUGGUUCAGUUUUACAUGGUGGAUUAUAACAGAACAGUGAGCGAUAGAUAGAUAGAUAGAUAGAUAGAUAGAUAGAUAGAUAGAUAGAUAGACAGACAGAUGUAAGCUUCUCACCUAUGGACCUGUGUCAGUAACAGUCACCACAAACCGAUGCAAAUAAUAAAAUUUGUUUUAUUACUAACAUUUUUUUUAGUAACUACUAUUACUAAAUUUUUUUAAUUCCUAAAACCCUUCAAAAAAGUCGUACUAAAGGCAGAAAAAUUACUUUUGUUCAACUGGAUUUGCAGAGUAAACAGACAUCCAAUAAACAUUCCUUCAUGACAGUGUGCUUGAUGACACACUGUAUCACACAAAGCCAGAAUCGCUGUGCUGACGUAGGAUUACACAUGGCAUCAGAUUAACAUACAAGCGUAGCAGCGCUAUUUCAUGCUAUCCCAGGAUAAAUCAUGAUGGGCUAACUGGCCUUACAUGUUAAAAAUAACACCCAUCAAAUACUCAGACUAGCCUGAUGCAGCUGACAUUAACUUCACACAAAGUGUUCAGGAAAAACAAACUGUUUAGAAAAAAGCAGAUGCACUUCACACUGAAAUGACCAGAAUUAGAGACUUUAUACGGUACUCACCUUGUAGCAAGACAUACGGAUAACGCAAACUGGCAAAAUGACACCAGAUGAAUGGAAGAAACAAGCACCUUCCUGCCUUAACCAAGUUGCCUUGGAAAGGAAGCAUGAUCAAAAUGUAUGAUGUUUGGGAUUUUUCCCCCAUCAUUAUUUAUUUAGAUGUGCAAAGAUAACAGUAAUGUUACUGGAUCUCUGUGGGGGCACAACGUCCCAAGAUGGCACUUUCUGUCAGAAGGCUGAUGCCUAAAACUGAAGGCUGGAGAAAAUCAUUUUACAUUUCUGAGAAAAAUGGUAGGUGACAAUAUUUUAUUAGCAGAAACAUUUAAGCACUGCAAGGUGCUAUGAAGCAGAUUAAAAUCACGUUUCUUGAAUUUAAAGCAUUUGAAGGACCAGCCCUUCCCCCUUGGUAAGCUGGAAAGAGUCGGUAUCUUCACUAAAUGAUUGCUAGGUUAAAGCAAAGAACUAUUCCUCCUUGAGCUACACCUAUUUAUAGGAACAUACACAGCAUCCUCACUGAACAAGUUAGGAUGAAUUUAAAAUCAAAAAUAACAACAGAAUUGUACACAAAUAUCUCAAAUAUUUGCAAAUGCCGAAUGAUUAAAGAGUGAGUGAUGCCUCGGAAGCUGAAGUUUAACCGAGUCGUCCAGCUUUCAGUAUAAGAAAAGAGCCUUAAAUUCUUUAAACCUCAGUAUUCAAAGCUCAUCUGCAUUCUAAGUAUUAGAUUUCUGAAAUAAGAAACCACAGCACGUGCAGUUCUAGAACUCCCACUCUGAAAUACUGCUUCUAUGUGUUGACUUUACAAUAAGCCUCUGAUCUAGUUUAAUCAGAGCACUCCAUCAUCUGCUACAUCCAGAUCUAAGGCCGGCACAUUCUCUGACCCUACAGGCACAAUAUUCUUCAGAGCCUUUAUGUCAUCAGUGCACUUCUGUUGUUUUUCUAUUAUCAACUAACUGAAACAGGACAAAUCAAAUUUAGUUAAGCCUGGUUUCAUUAAAACACACACAUGUAGAACAGAAAAACAUUUCUGUAUUUUUUUUUUAUUUCAAAUAAAGAUCAGUAACAACAUGCUCAUGAGCAAGAAGUCAUCUUAAUUAUCUCUCUUUAGGAGGAUUAGGAUUCUUCCGUCUUCUCUGAUACCUAGAAGAUACAAAAAAAGCUGCUGUGAAUGUAAGUUUUGGAAAAAUCUUUGACUUUCCUGACCUUCUUCCCUCCAGAAGCAGUUUGGAGUUACACAAGUAAGCAAAAUGUAAUACACACAAACACAGCCCAUGACCAUUCAUUAGAUGCCAUCUCUGUUGUUCGUGAAGUUACACAACACCGCUCAUUUCUGCUGUACAUCUGCUACAAGCACGCAAUAAUCCAUUCAGCUGUAGAGCUGACUGUAGAUACAAAGGCUGCUUUUUACUCUUAAUCCUUUGUGUGAGAUUAAUUUCACUGUACAGUCAGGGCUUCCUCUGACCAAAAUGACUGCUACAGAAUAAUCUGGGGUACAAGAAGGAGUUAUGUCAGACCUUACUUUAAAUAGUGUAAUAUUCUGCAGUCAUAUCAUUCAAAAAAAUUCUUCACAACAAAGAAAGAUAAACUGCAUCCCUACUUUCUUAAUUAGCCACCCUUAAACAAGGCAAAUACAGUACGAUACUCAUUAAGUGACAACUACCCUCUGGCCAUAUGGAGCUCUACCAUUUGUUUUCUUCACUUGUUCACAAAACAUAACAAUUAAAAAGGUUUGCAGUGUAUCAAGUUUCCACAGCUAUGAAAUCAGCAAUUACCAUAAAAUGUAAUAACACAGACUGGAGUGGAGCUGCACAUUGUUUCCAGUGGUGUACCUCAAUACACAGAGUUUCUCUUUAAGCUCAGUCAGGCAUGUUACAUCUCUUCUCCUUGCAGCUUUCUGAAUACAAAGUGCACCAAGGUACACUUCUCAUCAUUUCAAAUGAAAAACUACUUUUUUUUUUUUGUUAAGUCUGAUAAUUAUAUGGUUUCAAGCUGUAUUGGCUAUAUUCACUGACAGUGUGAUUUCACUUAUGCAAUUUUAGGAAACCACGUGGAGCAGCAGCUAAUUACACAAUAUGAGAAAUUUCUACUCCAUGGUAUUUUACCAAUCAAGUUGCAAAGGCUAUGGAAGGGGCAGAAUUUUUAAAAAACAAGAUAAUACUGUCUUCCAUUUACACGACAUUGCAUUUAGAACUGUAUGUAAUAGCCCACGUGCUAAGAGUAUUUCAUAGGAUGAGUUUGGAUAAAUUACAAUCAUGCCUGUGUUUCUCUUUAUGCCCAAAAGGAACACACACUGAAAAAAAAGAAAACUUACUGUCCCACAGGGUACCACCGAUGUUUUGUAGUGUAAAACAUUUUGCUGAGCUCUUCAAUUCUAAGUCCUCUAUCAUUCUUUAGCUCUUCUUCAUUCAAUCUGGAUUUUAAAAUUUGAUCUAGAGUUUCUUCUUUGUUAUUCACCGGAUCUGGUCGCGGCACGGGCUACAAAAACAAGAACGUAAAUUUCCUCUUUAGGAAGAACAAAAAGUCAAGCUGCACUGAUAACAUUACUAUUUACUCUUUAAAGCUGAGAACAAAAGAACUGAAAAAAGAAAGCAUCAUAAAAGGCUCCCUCCCUUCUCAAUCAAAACCACAUCACUCUGGGGAGGAAUUCUAGAAACAUCUCAUUACUGCAGGUGCUACGGCUGAUUACUGUGUCCCACUGUCAGUGCUACUGCUGAGCUCUCAUCCUUACAAUCCACUAGCUGAACCAUAAGCAUCAAUUUACUAACAUAAAAUACUCAUAUUAUUGCUAUUUAUACAUUUGUUCAUACUGACGACCACCAUUUUAUCAUACUAAGUUUUUAAGUUUUUAUUGAAAGUUUUCCUGUGAAGUUUAUGAACUCACAGAGUUGAAUGGAGUUUAAAAUAACAGCACUUCUUCAUGUCCCCCAUACUGCUGCAACUGAACACAGCAGGAUGUACGAGCUAUCGCCCAGAUUUCCAACAUCUUCUCUGAGGAGCAUGCUCUUGGACAAACACUUCUUUUCUCUGUAGUGCACAACCAUUUGAGUACCUCAUUUAAUUCACUUUGAGCAAUGCUGUAAGAAUCUGAGCAUUUAUUUGCCUGUAGCUUUCUCUCACUUCAGCUACAAGUCCUCCUUAGAGCAGCAGCUAUAUUCAUCACUCACUUCACAGAUAUGCUGCUCAUGUAAAGAACAGCACCUCUGUCUUUCAAACUGCAAGAAAAAACAAACAGUUGUCCUGAAGACUCAGAAAUUCCUACGCUUCUACACGACUAAGCAAUGUGUACCGUUGGACAUACUUGUGUGUGCUCGUAUGGAAUCUCGAGUGAAGGGUGGUAGCAGACAAUUGUCUUCGAAUCUGAUGUCAAGGCAAGUUCCACUUUGCUGUGAAAAUAAAAAGUGACAUUAUUACAAUCCCUUACAAUUUCCAGAAAUGCUGACUGACUGAGCAGCCCAAUUCCCAAAGAAAACCCCAUUUCAUCCUCUAUUUAUGAAUUCUUUGUAAAUCUUCUAUCAAAUAAAACCUGAAAAAAUAAGGCUCA
This is a long non-coding RNA of Lagopus leucura (white-tailed ptarmigan), 12617 nucleotides long. RefSeq lists it as uncharacterized. NCBI's taxonomy places the organism in Eukaryota, Metazoa, Chordata, Aves, Galliformes, Phasianidae. The record is from RefSeq and is a predicted model, not a curated record. The transcript is spliced from 2 exons.